Alligator sinensis (Chinese alligator) is the source of this 602-nucleotide long non-coding RNA. RefSeq lists it as uncharacterized. The record is from RefSeq and is a predicted model, not a curated record. The transcript has 2 exons. NCBI's taxonomy places the organism in Eukaryota, Metazoa, Chordata, Crocodylia, Alligatoridae.
GACCCCCACCGCCCUCUAGGUCCGCGACCCCGGAAGCAGAAGCCAUCUGCCCCGCCCCGCAACAAAGACAGCGCCGGAGCCGUGUCGUCCAGUCUCGUGCCUUUAUUCCUCCGCGGAGCCGGGCCGGGCCGGGCCGGCGGGGCGCUCACGGGCGCGGUCCCCGCGGGCUCCUCAGGUAGCGGCAGACGAUCUCCUGCGGACAGAUGAGGAGGAGGCGGCCGUGAGCCUGGCGCGGCCUAGCAACCCUCCCGCGGGUGCCGGGACGGACGGAGAUCCCUUGGGAAGGCCCCGGGCCCGGCCCCUCGGGCUUCAACACAAGCCGCUACUCAUGAGUGCCUUCCUCAUGUGCAUGGCCAGUGCAGUUUUUUCCUUCGUGCUGUGGGGCAGGAUUAUUACACCAACGAGAACGGCUCACCACUCCCAGCCCACAAGAGAUAAGACAAGGAGUCCAAGGUGUCCAUGGGGACCACAUUCCAUCAACUGAGAUACAGAGAGACCAGUAUUAUUACAUGGACAUUACCAAUUUUAGUCAUAUUUAAAUAUGAAUGUCAAAAAUUUAGGGAAGAGAACGUCAAAUAAACUUUUGAAAAUCUGUUCAUGCA